GUGCCAGCAGCCGCGGUAAGACGAACCGAGCAAGCGUUAUUCGGAAUUACUGGGCUUAAAGAGUCCGUAGGCGGCGCGUUAGGUGGGGUGUGAAAUCCCUCGGCCCAACCGAGGAAUGGCGCUCCAAACCGGCGUGCUUGAGGAAGGUAGAGGUGAGCGGAACUGAUGGUGGAGCGGUGAAAUGCGUUGAUAUCAUCAGGAACACCGGAGGCGAAGGCGGCUCACUGGGCCUUUUCUGACGCUGAGGGACGAAAGCCAGGGUAGCGAACGGGAUUAGAUACCCGUGUAGUCC
This 292-nucleotide ribosomal RNA is filed under the name uncultured bacterium. Its description in RNAcentral is "partial 16S ribosomal RNA". It matches the Rfam family "Bacterial small subunit ribosomal RNA", at positions 505 to 796 of the family's 1533-position model. The record is from RNAcentral.